GAGGCGUCAGGUGGAUGGUGGGAGGAGGACAAACAGAGACGAUAAGCAUGAGGUUGCAUAGGUGACAAUCGUAGCCUAAAGGAGAUAGAGGCAACGCCGACGGGGGUAAAGCCAUGGACGAGAGGAGUACAUGAGGGGGAUGGAUAAGGUUAGAUGGAGUAUUAACUUAUGUCAGAGAGGAGAAGGUGCAAUAGGUAAGGUAGACUAGGUCUUUUUUAACAUUUCUAUUUCUAUAUAACUUUAAGUUCAUAUUUUCUUGUUUUUAUUUUUAUUUAGUAAGAUAAUAAUAUAUGUUGAUGUAUAGGACAUUAGAGAAUGUCUUGGCGGGUCACCUAUGGAUACUACAUGGUAUUUUUUAGGGUUAUAAUUGGAUACAUACCAUUCAAAGUAUCAUGGUUUAAAAAUAUAAUCAUUACUAUUCAGG
RNAcentral lists this long non-coding RNA (424 nucleotides) under Sorghum bicolor (sorghum). RNAcentral's name for it is "long non-coding RNA (SBIC_LNC002508)". Lineage: Eukaryota; Viridiplantae; Streptophyta; Magnoliopsida; Poales; Poaceae. The record is from RNAcentral.